AAGCAGCUUGCUGCUUUGCUGACGAGUGGCGGACGGGUGAGUAAUGUCUGGGAAACUGCCUGAUGGAGGGGGAUAACUACUGGAAACGGUAGCUAAUACCGCAUAACGUCGCAAGACCAAAGAGGGGGACCUUCGGGCCUCUUGCCAUCGGAUGUGCCCAGAUGGGAUUAGCUAGUAGGUGGGGUAAAGGCUCACCUAGGCGACGAUCCCUAGCUGG
Molecule: ribosomal RNA, 217 nt
Filed under: Escherichia coli
Lineage: Bacteria; Pseudomonadati; Pseudomonadota; Gammaproteobacteria; Enterobacterales; Enterobacteriaceae
Description: partial 16S ribosomal RNA
Rfam family: Bacterial small subunit ribosomal RNA
Source: RNAcentral